This is an RNA transcript of Trifolium pratense (red clover), 4235 nucleotides long. It is a transcript of the gene named pentatricopeptide repeat-containing protein At1g12300, mitochondrial-like, with no coding region annotated. NCBI's taxonomy places the organism in Eukaryota, Viridiplantae, Streptophyta, Magnoliopsida, Fabales, Fabaceae. The transcript is spliced from 3 exons. The record is from RefSeq and is a predicted model, not a curated record.
CUAGGAAGCAGGAACAAAACAACAUCGAAUGAAUCAACUCCGUUGUAGAACUAAAAGAAAACUGAAUCGCGCAGGAAGGGAUUAGAUUUCUAAUGAAACCUUCUCGUUUGUUUCCUUAAUUAAUCCUUUUUCAUUUCUUCAAAACCUAAACCACAAUGUUGUUUUCAACUUUGAGGCAUUUUCGUUUCUCCAAUUUUCCUCUUUUUCAACUUUCAAACCCUAAAUUCAUUCCUUGCUUCCAUUCUUCAUCAAUGCUAAUGCUAUACUCUCAAUUACAUCACCAACAAGAAGACCAACAUAAUCAUCUUGUUUCUUCAUUCAAUCAAUUACUACAUCAGAAUCCAACUCCACCCAUCUUCCAUUUUGGUAAGAUUUUAGGUUCUCUUGUUAAGUCCAAUCAUUACUACACUGUUGUUUCACUUCAUCGUCAGAUGGAACUAAAUGGAAUUGCUUCAAAUUUAGUCACUUUCAACAUCUUGAUCAAUUGUUUUUCUCAAUUGGGUCUAAACUCUCUUUCCUUUUCUGUAUUUGCCAACAUUCUCAAAAAGGGUUAUGACCCAGAUGCCAUAACUUUGACUACACUCAUCAAGGGUCUUUGUCUCAAAGGUCAGAUCCAUAAAGCAUUGAACUUUCAUGACAACGUGGUAGCACAGGGAUUUCAGUUGAACCAAGUUAGUUACGGGACCUUAAUCAAUGGGUUAUGUAAAGUAGGAGAAACAAGUGCAGCCUUGCAGUUGCUGAGACGAGUUGAUGGGAAACUGGUUCGACCUAAUGUGGUAAUGUACACUGCAAUUAUUGACAGUAUGUGCAAAGAUAAACUUGUUGAUGAUGCUUUUGAUUUAUAUUCUGAAAUGGUCGCUAAGACAAUUUAUCCCAAUGUUGUCACUUAUAGUACUUUAAUUAGUGGCUUUUGCAUUGUCGGUAAAUUGAAAGAAGCAAUUGGGCUUUUUAAUAAAAUGGUUUUGGAGAACAUCACCCCGAAUGCGUAUACGUUUAAUAUAUUGGUUGAUGCAUUUUGUAAGGAAGGAAAAGUGAAAGAAGCUAAUAAUGUGUUUGCUAUGAUGAUCAGAAAAGGUGUUAAACCUGAUGUUAUUACCUAUAGCUCGUUAAUGGAUGGAUAUUGCUUAGUUAAAGAAAUGAACAAGGCCAACCGUACAUUCAACACCAUGGCACAAUGUGGAGUGACUCCAAAUGUUCAGAGCUAUAAUAUUAUGAUUAAUGGAUUUUGUAAAGUUAAAAUGGUGGAUGAAGCCUUAAAUCUCUUCAAAGAAAUGCGUUGUAGAAACAUUAUUCCUAAUGUGGUAACUUACAAUUCCCUUAUUGAUGGUUUGGGCAAAUCAGGGAGAAUCUCUCAUGCUUUGAAGCUUGUUGAUGAGAUGCAUGAUAGAGGUCAACCACCUAAUAUAGUUACCUACAAUUCUAUAUUUGAUGCUUUAUGCAAAACCCAUCAUGUUGAAAAGGCGAUUGCAUUAUUAACAAAAGUUAAGGACGAGGGCAUUCAACCAAAUAUGAACACAUAUACUAUUCUUAUUCACGGAUUGUGUAAAGUUGGAAGAGUAGAGGACGCGAGAAAUGUUUUUGUAGAUCUUUCAGUCAAAGGCUACAAUCUAAGUGUUUAUACAUAUACUGUUAUGAUCCAAGGGUUUUGCAUCAAGGGCUUGUUUGAUGAAGCGUUGGCCUUGCUAUCAAAAAUGAAAGACAAUAGUUGCCUUCCAGACGCUGCAACUUAUGAAAUAAUUAUCCGUUCUCUGUUUAAUAAAGGUGAACAUGAUAUGGCAGAGAAACUUCUACGUGAAAUUAUCGCAAAAGGUCUAUUGUAAGAUUGAAACUAGGUAAUAUGUUUUGUCUACUGUACAUUAUUAUUUUCAAUUUAUCUUUUAACAAUAUUGUUUCGUCAUUUCAUUUAUGUAGUUACUUCACCUAAUGGAAAAAGUGCUUGUGUUAUUUCUUUUGGUUAAGUUUGUUUAUACUUCCCAACUAAUAGACAUUCCAACUUGAGGAGAAUUGGUAGGAUAUGAAACAUAGUUUUUUUUCUGCAUUAUUAUGCUGCAACAUAUGCUUAAGGGUCUGUUUGAUUAGGGGGUUUUUGAAGGGAGUGCAUAGAAUAUUUUUUAAAUGAACUUAUAUGGACAAAUUUGCUUUAUUUUUUUUUUUAAAAAUCCUAAAUUAUCCUUGUUGGAAUACAAUUAAAAGUUUAAAUUUUCUCUCUUCAACCAAAUAUGUCUGUCUCUGUGUCCGUGUCGGUGUCCCCAUCAACAGAAGCUGGAACAGGAACCUUGUCCUAGAUAUUUUCUCCUCUUUUGAAGCACAACAAAUUCUCAAUAUUCCCUUAUCUCGGAGGCUCCCGAAUGAUAAAAGAAUAUGGCACUGGGAAGGAGAUGGCAAUUUUUCAGUUAGAUCAGCACAUCACAUGAUUAAUUAAAGAGGCCGAAUCAGCAAGGACGCCUGAAACUUCUCCAUCUAAAAAUGUAUUCACCGUAUAGUAGAUCCCCAUCGCUUCUUCAAAGUCGCUGAUUCCAUCACCAGUCCGUUUUCAUCGCAAAGGAUUGAGCCAUCUUCCGUCGUGUUGCUGCUGCAGGUUGGCAUCGGUGUUGGCCUUGAUAUAAUUCCUGCGAACCCUAGACGGCUAGACCAAUCCAGCAAGUUGCACCGCCCUUUCCUCUCCUCGCCAGAAUCAUCGCCCACCGUCGACGCGUUAUCUGUUGUUUCUGAAAACCCUAAAGUGCAUAAAAAACCAGAAAUAAUGUCGUACGAUGACGUGGAGAUUGAAGACAUGGAGUGGAAUGAGGAGUUGCAGUCAUACACGUAUCCAUGUCCAUGUGGGGACUUGUUCCAGAUCACGAAGGGAGAUCUCAAGCUUGGUGUGGAGAUCGCUUGUUGCCCUAGUUGUUCUCUCUAUAUCACCGUCAUCUACAACAUGGAAGAUUUUCUUGGCGAUUCUGAUCAACACAAGGGUAUUCAGCCGUCCAAGCAACAACCUGUUACCGUUGCUUGAAUUUCAGGUCUUUCACAAUUUCUUAUCAAUAUUUUCAAUGAUUUCCUCUUAGUUGCAGCGUUCAUUGAUUUAAAUUUUGUAUACAUUGAUUUUUAAUUUGUUUUGAUAUGAAUAGAGACAAUCAGUAAAAAGUGCACUUUCAUCUUUUUUUUUUGUUUUUUUUUGUUUUUUUUAUUUCUUAUUUUUAUAUUUACCGCGUUAUUGGUACUAACUUUGUGUCUAAUCUCUGCGAGGGAACUUGUGGGCACACAAGGUGGGUUCUUCCCUCCAACUGAGUUUUCUCCAUACGCAAGAGUCAGGGAUCCACUCGUCACCAUUUGCUCAAGUGGCUCAAGACCCUUACCUCUGACCAAUUCAUUGUUGGGGGCUUCCUAUCAGUGUAAUUAGUUAAGGAGAGAAUAAUAAACCUGAGAGGUAAUGCAAUUUGUAACCUCCCAACUUAGGUAAAUCCUCUGUAUGGCCCAAGUCUAAUCUAAUGAGAAGAUGAGCUUUCUUUUCCUCAUCAUUUAUCUGCUAUGUAACCUUUAAUUUGAGGACUAUCCUCCUCCAACCAAUGACCGCCCUUUCUUUUGGCCAAGAUUUGAGGAUCAAACUGUAGAGGGCUCACUACUAAAAGUCAACCCACAUUUUAGCACACAAGUCAAAUUAGGAGGAUCUAACUUUAGACAAUCAAGGAGUAACACAUGUAAUCGGAACAUUAUUACUAUUUUGAGAUCCAAUUGAUGAAAUUCUCUCUUGUUUCCCGACAUCCCGUUCUCUAUUGGGCAUAUAUGGGACCCCAAAAUUCUAAGGAGGUUAAAGAGGAAAUUUUGAAUCAGAAAAGAAGCAAGGAAUAAAGGUGUAGACAAAUUCCUGAACUAGGCAGUAGGCACAAUGGUCAUUUAGUAACCUUAACUAGACAGAAGAAUUAUAGAAUUUUAAAUUUAUUACAUAUAUUUUGUUAGAAGGGUCUGAUAUACCUUUUGAACAAGAAGGUUGUUUUUAUUUUGUUAGAAAUUGGUUCUUCCAUCAUAUAGGUUCUUCUAGGCCAAAUUCAAUUUACUUGAUCACAUUAAUAUCAAACUCUCUUUGUUUUUAUGUGCAUAAAACUUCAUUUGCAGCCAUCUUGCUCUAUUUGUUAACAAUGAUAGAGCAAUCAAUAGCAGUGAUGAUAUUUGAUGAGAGGUAUGCAUUUAGCCAAUGCCUUUUUCUAAAUAUGACGUGUAUUGCACCAAACUCAAUAAAAAUUAGCUUUUGUUAA